UACGUAGGGGGCAAGCGUUGUCCGGAAUCAUUGGGCGUAAAGCGCGUGUAGGCGGCCCGGUAAGUCCGCUGUGAAAGUCGGGGGCUCAACCCUCGGAUGCCGGUGGAUACUGUCGGGCUAGAGUGCGGGAGAGGCGAGUGGAAUUCCUGGUGUAGCGGUGAAAUGCGCAGAUAUCAGGAGGAACACCGGUGGCGAAGGCGGGUCUCUGGGCCGAUACUGACGCUGAGGAGCGAAAGCGUGGGGAGCAAGCAGG
This 253-nucleotide ribosomal RNA is filed under the name uncultured bacterium. Its description in RNAcentral is "partial 16S ribosomal RNA". It matches the Rfam family "Bacterial small subunit ribosomal RNA", at positions 524 to 776 of the family's 1533-position model. The record is from RNAcentral.